GAGUUUGAUCCUGGCUCAGAUUGAACGCUGGCGGCAGGCCUAACACAUGCAAGUCGAGCGGCAGCGGCUUAACUGAACCUUCGGGGAACGUUAAGGGCGGCGAGCGGCGGACGGGUGAGUAAUGCCUGGAAUAUGCCCUGAUGUGGGGGAUAACUAUUGGAAACGAUAGCUAAUACCGCAUAAUCUCUUCGGAGCAAAGAGGGGGACUUCGGGCCCUCUCGCGUCAGGAUUAGCCCAGGUGGGAUUAGCUUGUUGUGAGGUAAUGGCUCACCAAGGCAACGAUCCCUAGCUGGUCUGAGAGGAUGAUCAGCCACACUGGAACUGAGACACGGUCCAGACUCCUACGGGAGGCAGCAGUGGGGAAUAUUGCACAAUGGGGGAACCCUGAUGCAGCUAUGCCGCGUGUGUGAAGAAGGCCUUCGGGUUGUAAAGCACUUUCAGUAGGGAGGAAGGUAGUGUAGUUAACACCUGCACUAUUUGACGUUACCUACAGAAGAAGCACCGGCUACUCCGUGCCAGCAGCCGCGGUAAUACGGAGGGUGCGAGCGUUAAUCGGAAUUACUGGGCGUAAAGCGCAUGCAGGCGGCCUGUUAAGUCAGAUGUGAAAGCCCGGGGCUUAACCUCGGAAUUGCAUUGAAACUGGCAGGCUAGAGUCUUGUAGAGGGGGGUAGGAUUUCAGGUGUAGCGGUGAAAUGCG
Molecule: ribosomal RNA, 697 nt
Filed under: Photobacterium sp. Pc242
Lineage: Bacteria; Pseudomonadati; Pseudomonadota; Gammaproteobacteria; Vibrionales; Vibrionaceae
Description: bacterial SSU rRNA
Rfam family: Bacterial small subunit ribosomal RNA
Source: RNAcentral